ACCCUUUCUCUUGUCUUAACUUCUCCAUGGCCCUGAUGGUUGUCAAAUGUGGUCUUACAAUGAUUGCUGCAGCACUGCUGAAAAUGCUUGUAAAUUUAUUUAUACAGAUGGAAAGCAGAUGCUCAUGCUCUAACUAUAUAACAUUGGAAAUUGGAUAUGAUUUAUGUGAUGCUGAAUAGGAGGGCAGAUAAAUGCAGGCUCCUGAUGGCCUCUGUCUGCAACUGCAUGUACGUCCAAGAAAAACAAUUUCAGAGUGAUGCUAAAGAGCACUGUGAAUUCACCAGCUUUACCACUCUUACUUUCUCGUUUAUUUGAAAAGCAGUUAAUUUCAAGUACCUAUGUGGCAUAAAUCUUUUAGAGUUCUGUUUUUUUUAUAUAAAUACUGGAAGAACAAGGAAAGGAGAAUGUUUGCUUUGGAAAGAUAGUAACCAAUGACAUAUGAAGACAACAUAAUACAGUGUUGACAUGAUUUUUCUACUUGUAUUUCAGGAUUAAAACCUUUUUUCCACAGUUGAGUUCUACUACACAUGAGUGGAGCAUCCAACAGGAAAUUUCAAAAGCUGCAUAGAAGAAGUGACAGGAAAAGAAAUCACAGUGCCAAUAUUACUGACAGGAGUAAAUUUAUGGAAGUCUAAAGGAAGAGAGUGUAAGUAGUGUGGAAGACACAAGAGUUGCCUUUCAAGCAGGAAGACCACAGAUCAAUUUAUUGUUGCAGAUGAUUCAAAUGGUGGAGCUGAAGAGUAACUGGAUCAGCUGCAGCGGUUUUUUCACUUGUGACAGCACCAGCAAAUGGUGGUUGUUGAUUCACAUGCACUGGAUAAGUGAUGGUAGUUACCAAGCAGGAAGAAAGUUGUUUCAGCACACCACAAACAUCUACUCAGCACCUUAAUGCUUCAAUAAGUCUGUACAUGCACAACAGCCAAGUCCCUUCUCUACCCUGCACACUGUGGUGAGAGCUUUGAGUGCAUAACCAGCAAUCUCUGUUGUAGAUGAGGCAAGGUUUCUCCAUCCCAUUUUUCUGCUCUGAUUACCGGGCUGUGAGAUGAGGGAAAUAAGUAAAGGUAUGGAAAGGAGGAGGAGCAGCAGUUCAGUUCAGAAAGCUGACAAGAAGCUGGAAGAGUGGGGAUAAAGAUGAAGGAAAGGAACAAAAUGAAGCAGGGCAGUAACUUCUGUUCCAGACUGUCAAAGACUGAACUAGCUUAACUGGUUUCAUUUAGUAUUGAAAAAGUCAGAAAAUCAUGAGUCCACUGGAAAUAAAAACUUGAUAUCAAUGAGGAUACUUUAGUGUAAGACGUAUCGAGCAAUUGCACAGAUUUCUUUGUAUUUAUAAAACAUGCAUGAUUAGGAGUUUCUGCCUGCUUCUGCUCAGUUUAUGUAUUAAGGGAUUACUGAAGAUUUGUCUGAAGCCAUCUAGAUCUAUUGCUGUCAGUUAUACUGACGUGUUAUGAGGCAUUGUUACAAUCACAGAUAGUUGGUGUAUUUCAAUUAGCAUCCCAUAUCAUUAUCUUUUCCUAAUCUUAGUUGCAGCAGAGGAGUUGGUUCAGCUCAUUGGUGUUAUCAGUGCUGUCCUGAUACUUUUAGAAACUGCAAUUGUUUGGGACAUGGAAAGAAGUUUUAAAAACACUUUUAUGUUCCAGUAUAACUGAAGAAUACUCCAAGGGGCUCAAAUUUGCUAGGAUAUAAUGACAAUUUAACAGAUACUUCAAAACUCAGCUGUGAAAGGCACUGGAGGAAAGCAAUGUCAAAGUGUUUAUGAAGAGAAUUUGUUUCAGUGCUGUUAGGUACUUUCAAUGUUCAGGGUUUAUGUAAGAGAUACAUUAGCAGACUGCUGGGUAGUUAGUGGGCACAGGGAAGUUAGGGUCAAAUCUUAGCAAUGAGUGAAUUUUCCUGAUCUUGAGUGAUUUAGAAAAAAAAAUGUCAUUCUUUACAUAUUAUUAAUGCAAAAUAAUUUUCUUAUUUUGUAGACUUACAUCAAAUUAUUUUCCAGCAUUCCAGUUUCCUUCCCUAAAAUACAAUGCAUUAGACUUGACUCUUCUGAGUGUGUGAAUAUAGUAAAAGUAAUACUGGCAGCCAUAAUGUCUAUAAACCUAGUUAUCAUACAAUCAAAAUUUCAUUUACGUAGGUAUAUUUCAUAUCUCUGUGGCUUUCUCUUUCCCUCUUUAGGAUUCCAGACAUCUCUGGUGAGUAAGCUCUGGUGCUGGUGCCUCACUGUGAUUUCUGUUUCAGUAGCACUUCUGACAGCUGACAUCUCCAAAGUUGCUUAUCCUUACUAAUUGUCAAGUAGAAGGUCUAAAUUAAGCCAUAGUUUCACAAACAUAUUUAACUGCCAUAAGGUGGAAAUGUGUGUGAAAGAAGUCCUUUCCCCUGAGUUAGAACAACCCUUUAUACUUUCCUACCGCAGACUGGAGUGGGGAACCAAAAGUGAGAACAGAAGAAGUUUAUCCUUAACCUAGAUAAUUUUUCCAUUCAAUUCACACUAGUUCAAGUACUAUGGUGUGUUAUAGUUUUCUGAUUCAUUUGUCUCUACCAUAGUUUCUAAGUUAUUAAAUAAUGCUUAUUAAAAACCACUCCAAUAACAAAGAAACAAAAGAAACAAACAAAAAAACUGACCCCAAAUCCCAAGGAAAAACCACCUCAAAAACCCACAAGUAAAAAUGCAAGACAUGUAUGGAAACUCAGAAACUCAACACCAUUGUAUUAGAACUUUCAUUCCUUAUGACUAAAGGAAAACUUGUCUGUGUACACCUAAUAUUUCAAGUUUCAGUUUAUAAUUUUUUGUUCUGUAAGAAGAUUUUUUAGAAAAUACUGUAUUGCUCUAAGCUGUCUCAGUAGUUUGGAUGUGUCACCUCAUACAAAGCCUUAUGUUCUUCCCUAAGUUUAAUCAUAAUAAUUAAAACAUACUCAAGACCAGCCUUUAAAAUACAUAGCUUUAUUUUCCAUGCCUCUGGUAGUUUUAUAGCCUCAAAAGUGAUGCAAGAAGUCUUAAUUUUGUCUUUCAAGCAUUGAAUUUGCAGUUCAGGCAUUACUUUCCUCAAAGUUUUACCCAGCAGAAAACUGCUUUCUUGUUCUUUCAAUGUUUUAUUCACAAUCAUCCUUUUUCUUGUCACCUCCAAAGUAGGCUAUUCCAUGUGUAGCUACUGAUUUACCAGCCAGUCAUUUCAUCUGCCCACAAGAGAAGUAAAAGUUGUGUAGGUGAUUAACUUCACUUCUGACUGACAAUUUUUAAACCUGAAUCCUUUGUAACAUUUCCUGGGGGAUACCUCUCCCUACCCAAUGUUGAUGCAAUAAUUAGACCUAAGAAUGGCUUCAAUGCAGUCCAUAAUUGAUACACAGUGCCACCUGUUGAGAUGUCCUCAUUCUGGUUAUGCCACCUUCCAAAAACACCGUCUUCCACCAGUGAAAGUUGAGGGGUGUUGAGGCAGACUAAGUCAGCUACUUCCAUUUCAGGAGAGUGCUGUGCUCAGUUCUGUGUGGAGGAAUUCCAUCUGUUACUCUGUUGUAGUAUAGUCAAAUACAUUUUUGUGUGACAUGAAGAUGUGCCUUGGCAGAGGCACAGUGAGAUGGCAUCAGGGUGGGUGUGUUAAGGCAGAGGCAGUGCCCUGGUGAGGCAGGAGGAAGACCCAGUAUUGUGGUUUGGCAGCUACCAUAGGCAAGGGAUACGAUAACUUGGGUAUGUGGGAAUUGUAUAAAAUGUGGAGUAAGGAAUAAGAUGGCAUCCACUCAGUAAAUUUACUUCCUCUUUAAACUUGGCUUUCACCUUUUGGUUGUGUGUCCCUGUAUUAUUUAUUCUGUGAAGAUCUGUGAAUUUUUAGGCACAUAAAAAAAAUUAAAAUUGUUUGGUUGGGUUGCUUUCUGUAUUUUGAGUAUGCAUAAUAAAUGAUUAGUGAAGAAUGAAUAGAAUCUGGGGAUUAAUAUAAUUUCCUCUUGAGGAUUUGCAUGACUUGAAAGUGCUUCAUGCAUAACUACCUUUGCUAUAGCCAUGUUUUCAAAGGAUCAGAAGAGAUUUUUUGAAGAAGUCUUUAUUCAAUUUAAGAUAAAUCUUUGAAUUCCAGAGAUCUUUUUAUGAAGCAAGUGGCUCCAUGACUACCUUUUACAAAUUAGGUUGUGUAUAUGUUUAUUACCAUACAGUUGAUUUUUUUUCAAUUUCUGUGCUAAUUUUUCUUCAGUUAUUCAGAGUCAAAAUCAGGGAUUUUUAAUCACUUCUUAAUGUCUGACAGGACAUAUAAUAAUAUUAAGACAUAAUCUACCAUGAGGUAGAGUUUUGUCAUUCUAGCAUCCUGCCACCCCGCCUCUAAUAGCUUUUUAUCACUUUUGGCUGCCUCAGUUUAUCAAACUGAGUCAUGCCAUCAGGAAGCAAACUCUGCCUAAGCUGAAUGGAAGGAUUCCCAGAUAGUGGUUUUUUUUAAGUCAUCAUGAUAUAGUUAUUCCACAUUUGUGAAAAACCUUGAGAACUUCUCCCUGUCUCAAACCCUUACUCAAUCACUGAAUUUCAGAAAUGCAAUUUCUAGCAGCAAUAUACCUUUUGAUAAAGAAUAUACAUUAAUUUGCUUUUUUGAAUAACCUUUUUUCUGAUAUGAAUAUAUAAGCCAUGCAUUUGGAAAUAAUUGAUUAACCUAAUUCAUACAUAUGUCAUGUAAUUAUACAUGUUUCAGUAAUUUUAAAAAUUAUUUUUUUUUUUAGCUUUAAAGGAUUUCAUCAGAGCAGGACUCCCCUCCAAAUGAAUAGAAUAAUCCUUCUUCAUCUUUGGGCUGUCUGCCAAGAUUCAUGAGUAUGGCAAAAAAAUUAGACUGAAUGCUUUAAAAUUAGACCUGACUUGUCUCUUCACAAAUGAUAAUAAAAUGGAAGAAAUAACUCCCUUGUAUUCCAGGUUCAGUAAAUGUACCAAGAUUCUGGGGGCUAAAAUGGGGAGACUGGGUUGAUUCUGCAGUAGAGUUGCUGAGCAGGGGGUUAGAUUUUGAAGCAGGCUGCCAGCAUGCUCUGCAGCAGUUUGCAGGUGUAAGGACAGCAACCUUUCACAGUUUGUGCUCUCAGAAAUCCACUGAUAUUGUUGAUGCCUUUAAGAGAAUAUUGAGAAAUUAAACAAAUUUCUGCUUCCUUAGAGGCUUUUAGAAUAAAUUACCACUACAAAGUCUGGAGGUAUGAACUGUCUAAAAUGUCUUCUUCACUACAUAGGCUCAGGGAAGUGUCUAUGUUACUGUAGUAAAUAGUGAAACCUGCUAGUGGUAUUUCUUACGUAUGUAGGAACAGAUACUGAUAGUGACUCUUUGGCUUUUGUGGGGUUUGUUCCAAGUGCUGAAUGUAAACUAAUUGAAUAAUGAAAUUCAAUAAUUAAAAAGGAAAAAAAAAAGCAGUAGUAUUCAUGGUCACAAUAUUUUGGGGAUUAAAUGGGAGCAAAAAAAUACCCUGAAUAGUACCUGUGAAUUUAUUGUUUCAAGGUGAUUGGUAUGACAUGUGCUUAUUAGUUGUGUUUUGCUGAUUUUUUUUUUUUUAGGGCAAAAUUGAAAGCCUGAUUACAUGUGCCAUGCAAAGUGCAUGGUAACUUGAGGAAUAGCCAGGAAUGGUACAAAAAACUGCAGGCUGGUGAUUCCUAUGAACUGAAGAAGUUCCUUCUGUCUCCUGACUUUGCCAUCCAAAGAAUUACUGGUUUCAAAACCACUUUUGAAAGCUAUCAAAUUUCACGUUAAUCUCCUCGGGAGGAGAAAGAAUGAGUUUCUGGAUGGGAAGGCAAGCCAGAGCUGAUGCACAGUGAAUAACAUGAGAGGCAUAAUGUUACUUGGAAGGAUCUCUGACAAUUCCACAGAAAUUCUGACGUGUUGUGAGAGAGAGCUCAAUCUCCUUCCCAGAGGACUCAUUUAGACCUGGAGCUUUCAGAAGGGUUCAGCCAGUUGUUCUCAGGUGAAAGAACAGAGAGAUUUUUAUUGCUGGAUUUCCUUUGCAAGUCCACCUUUGGACAUGAGGAGACCAAAAUCUGCAUUUUGCAAGGCAAUGAUUGAAAGCUGACAUAAAUUGAGAUGCUGGUUCUGGGAGGAAGAUGGUCUCUGUCAGGACUGUGAUAGGCAUCCCAGUAUUGCACUGUAAGCAAUUGAAGAAGGAAGAGUGGACACAUGUCUUUCUCAAGGUCACAUUGCCAGCUUCCAAUAAAAGUUAAAAACUGCUAAAGUAAAUAUGAUCAAGGAAACAAUUUUGCUUCAUUAAAGUACCUUAAACAAUAGAAAUUGCUGAAUUCACCUGAGGUGACCUGUUAAAAAUAGGAACAGGAAAGUAUUUUCCCUUAUUGAUUUCUAAGGACUUUUCUAAGGAUUUGAGUAUAUGCAGCUGAAUUUUGAAGAAUUACCCACUAGGAAUGAUUGAGAAAGAGAGAAUUCCUACAGUGGGUUUCUCUCAGAUGUCAUUGCUUUGCAGUGUGGGAUCAGUUUGAAAUAGAUUAGCAUAAAGAGCUAAUAUCAUUUGAUGAUGAGGCAUUUUAGGCAUUGCUUUUGUCUGUUUAUGUCUGGUUUUGGUUUUUUGUUUGAUUUACUCUGCCUGAAAUCAAGCCAUAGUGGCUUACAAGGACAUUUAGUUUACUUUCUCACAUAAGAGAAGGAAAAAGAGACAGCUACAUCAAAAAGAUGAGCAGGAUAAGCAAAAUGACAGACUCAUGUCUCUUUGUCCUGCAAACUUCAAAAUACUAUUCUUGAUUUUGCAAUUAUUGUGUUAAUUGUUUUUAUUUCAGAGUUUACUUAAAUGAAAAAUCAAUUAAUGGUAGCCAAAAUAGUACUUAUUCUGACAAAUGUUUUAAAACAAGGCACUCUGGAAGUUACUGAAUUUUCUUUAGAUGAGACUGUAUUAGUGUCUUUUUAAUGCUUUUGUGCAGUGCUGCUAAGCUCAGCAUUAGACAAAGGAUUACUUAAGUGUGUAUGCACUUAGGGUAAUCCUAAGUGUAAAAUGUGUAUGCAAACCUACGGUGCUGGCAAGGAUCUUGCAUUGUAAAUAAUAAAACACUGGCUAUCUAUCAGCAAAGGGAACCUCAGAACCUGGGAUUUGCAGAAUAUCACUGACAGCCCCUGAAUCCUCCUGCUCUACCAGGGACUACCCUCAACAUGCAGAGAUUUGGGACAUCUCUCGCGUUGGACCACUGUGUCAUUCAGCACUGAAUGAAGGUUGAUGUGUUUAGUACAAAGGUAUUAUCCUAAAAGACUUGUCUCAUUCGUACUAAGCUUUAUCUUUGGGUUGGUGAAGGAGGGAUGAAGACAGAAGCACACCCUGACCUAGAUGCCUGAGCACCAUCCGUAUUUCACUCUACCUAGUUUGAAGGCUGAACAGUCUUUUACCUAUGAGACCUUGUAGUGUGCAAGUUCCAAAUUUGGAUGUGGAAUACAUAACCUGAGGAACUUUGAUUACUGCUCAAUAAGUCCUCUGUGGAAAAUACCUACAGACACUAGAGACUUGAAAAGUUACCUGAGACACGGGCUUCUUUACGUAAUUGUGACCUCUUAUAUUGUAAACUAUGCCCAAGUGACUAGGAACAUCUUGGGAAGAAAAGCAAGAAACCAAAACGGGAUCUAUAUUAUUUCCUGGAAGGAUCCAAAUGAUGGAAAUAAGAAGAAGAAUACAGGAGCUUUAACUUUCUUUGGUGGGAACCAAAGCGAUCUAUUGAAAACAUUUAACAGGUCACCCACCCUUUUGUUACCCUGCAGUUAUUAAGCAUAUUUCUAAAAUUUGUGGUAAAGCAAAAUACAAGUAUCACUUUUCUAUAAAGAACUAUAUCUGAAUUAUUUUUCUUUUCUUCCCAAAAAUACAGACAUUUCAAAGACUUGAAAAGACAUUAAAACUUAAUUAAAAUAAUAUGGUUUGUUUGACUGGUCUGGACCCAUGUUAAUUAAAGAAUGACCAAAAUAAGGUACUUGGAUCCAGAGUGGAAUUUAAGUGAUGAAUUUAUGCCUUUUAGCUAAAAGUGAGUACUGAUUGUAUCUUCACGUGUUGCUAGAGGGGAUAACCAGUCUUGCAAACAUGUUCACUGUAGUAGGUCCUUCAGGAUUUUGUGUUAGCCAGUUCUGCAUCUGUGUUAAAUCAAUAUCACAAAUGGUGCAUGCUGGGGGCUAUUUAGGAGGGGUUAGGGGAAAAAAAAAAGGGGAGGAAAAAAAAGGCACCUUAUUGCUUUUAGUGCUAAUGGUACAUUUAUUAUGCUGAACCAUAAAUCUGCUUUGCCUGAUACUGUUCUUAGGCAUCAAUAACUCAUGGCUUGGAGUUCAAGAAUUUCUAGAAAUGUUCUGAUGGAUAACCAACAACUUAAUCUCCAAAACUAAGUGUGGUUCUUUUCUUGCUCUUAGGCUCAUAAAACUUAGUUUAGGGAGAUGCUAAAAAUAAUUAAAAUCUAAAUUCAACAUCCUGGAAUCAGUGACACAAGAAAAUCCAACAAAAAAGCCUGCCAGCACUAAUUAUUUUCAGUUGAUAAAGAUCAUUCAUUUAGUCAAAAUAAAUAGGCAUAUUUAUUGAAUGGUUAAUUAACUGCUUUUUCAUUUUUCAACUUUUUUCUUUCCUCUUAUUUUUGCCAUUCUCUUUUAG
Molecule: long non-coding RNA, 8544 nt
Organism: Passer domesticus (house sparrow)
Lineage: Eukaryota; Metazoa; Chordata; Aves; Passeriformes; Passeridae
Exons: 7
Source: RefSeq, a predicted model, not a curated record